Molecule: transfer RNA, 73 nt
Filed under: Argiope bruennichi
Lineage: Eukaryota; Metazoa; Arthropoda; Arachnida; Araneae; Araneidae
Description: transfer RNA lysine (anticodon UUU)
Rfam family: tRNA
About the family: Transfer RNA (tRNA) molecules are approximately 80 nucleotides in length. Their secondary structure includes four short double-helical elements and three loops (D, anti-codon, and T loops).
Source: RNAcentral
GCCCGGAUAGCUCAGUCGGUAGAGCGUUAGGCUUUUAACCUAAUGGUCCAGGGUUCGAGUCCCUGUUCGGGCG